CCACCCUCCUCUCUCUCCUCCUGCUCACAUCUCUCCUCCGCAUACGGCGCCCAUCACACCGGCCGUCACGUCCUCCUCCUCGAUCGCCGCCUCCACCACGCGGAUCCGGCCUCAAUCGCAUCCCCCUCGACUGUCUCUUCCAGCGCACGUCUAGGGGCAUGGAGCCCGGAUGCCCUCCCUAGAAUGCCAUCAAGAUCAGCACCACAGAUGCGUGGCUCGAGGCAUGGGGGCCUGAAUCCGGGCAUAGGUGUCCGAGAUUUGGGCAUGGUCGCCCGGAUCCGAUCUUCUCGCUUGAUCUUCCUUUUUUCCUGAUUUUGACAAAGACUCGAUUCAUCCGGAACCAGCUUCUAAGGUAAUGCAGAUGGAUUGAUCUGUUUUGAGCAAUUUUCGAUGAUCAUACUCAGCAAAGAUGUUUCUCUGUGAUUGCAUUUGUUAAUCCCCGCAGAUCCAGUUGAAGUUGCUUGCUGAAGAAAUGCAGGCAAUAAACAAAUUUACGUUUCUUAACUGAAACCUCGUGGUUCCCUUAGCUAUCAGAUCUGGAGUUGAUCAGAUGGAUCUUUCUCAAACCAAAUAUGUCUGUAGCUUUCAGAUUGGUGGCUGUCUUCAUAAAUUUAUAUUUUUAAGACGUUUCCAUGAUUUGAGGCUAUACCACACAGCCUUUAUAUAGAUUUAUUUUUACAAAGUAUGGACCUUUUAAGUGAGAACAAAAAUAUGUUGUUUUCCAGAUUAUAUGGAGCCUGAUCGGUAGUAAACACAUGUAUUUCAUUGUUUAUUUUCAGAUAUCUCUUUCUACAUUCGCCUGCUCCCCUUUGCUUUGAUAGCAGAACAAUUGCAAGCCCAAUAGGUGCUAAUACAUUGUUCGAUAUUCAGGUUAUCAAUUGCUUCAGUGGUCUCUACGUAUUUCAAUAGUUGGAGGCUUGGGCCACAGUUUUACGAUCCUUUUACAACCAUUUCUUCUGAUUUUGGUUGUUAAACAAAUGUUGCUGGACUAUGCUGCUGUUGCCAUGAGUGAUCGGCGUGCAAAUGGUCAUCGCAGUGUCACUCCUUCUGCUCCAUGAUAUUUGCCUUCGCUUUGGCGGCGCAUCGAGGGCUUGGUGAAUUCGUGUUACGGUGAUUCCACACCAGCUGUUGUUGAUCCAUUUUUCGUGUCAUCUGUUGAUCAUGUUGGGGUGUCUUCUGCUGUUAAUUCUUCUACGGAUAUUGAUGCUCGAAGGUAGGGUUCCCCAGUGAUAUUACCUACUUAGCUCAUUCCAAUGAAGUCCAUGAUUUUUUUUAUCUGACCUGCAACAUCAUAAUUACGCACUACUCUUGUGGUGGUGAUGUUACUCUUCGAAUUUCUCUAAAUACGCUCUUAGAAGAUGGUUAGAAUUGUAUUCUCAAAUUUCGGUAAGAACUCUCACUUUUUAUUUUCGUUUUGGGUGAUAGAAUUAAUAAACUUUCAGAUUCGUGCAGUAAUGUAUUCUUGGGUCUUACUUACAUUUUACCUAUUAUUUCUAUUGAAAAUACGAGAUUGAAUGUCAAACAUGCUAGGUCAGUUCAUUUGCAUUAAUUUUGUUUAGCUCUCUGGCUCUAAUUUCUCAUAUGUAGCAAAAAAAAAUUUUGAUAUAUAAGACGAGGCAUGCUCUUGCUUUUCAGGUUUUCAAUGUAUUAUCCAACCAACAUCAGAUACUUUGCGGAGCUCCAAGAGACGGUUCCCGUCCUGCACUACAAUUGUUUAUCGCAUAUAGCAAACAUAAUUUAUGGUUGCCAGUGAAUCCAGAUAACUCUGCUUUGCCAUAUUACUUUUACACUCCACAAUUAUUUGGUUAUUUGAACUACGGAUUUGAAGGGCAAAUUUCUGUAGCAACUUCAUUUAAUUCAAAUAAAGGGCUUAUCAAAACAAGCAGUUAAAUCACACAAGCUUAACCUUAACGCUUGACAGUAGCAUCUCUCUUGAGGAGUGUCAAGAAAGGGCUUAAAGAUGCUUGCAAUAGUUAUUUUGGAUACGUGGAUCUGGUCCUUACGACAUUGUAUUUUUUAAUUUGCACCUCCAAUUUAUAAUAUUGCUGUUUUAAUUUUCAGAUCUUCGCAAACACGAUAUAUACAUGUGAGUUUUGUUUUAUCCUCAACAGACUAGCAACAUCGCUGUUUGGCAACAUGCCACUACUGGCUAAUUUGAAAUAUGGCUUCAGAAUUUAGACAAUUAGAAGCAAAAGUUCUCCUCCAGCAGGUAGUGAAAGGUGAAGUUGGCCAGCCACUCGUGGGAGUCUCCCGGUUAGCCUGUUGGAGUAGAGGUUGAGGAUGGAAAACCAGUCGCCCACAUUGUCUGAUGUGUCGGCGGGAUCUCUCCAGAGUGGUCAUUGUUGCCGAGGUGCUGUAGCGGGAUGCAGCGUGGAGAUUUUGGCGGAGACUUCUGUUUGCAGCGUGCGAAAGAAAAAGAAAAGAAGAGGAAUAGACACAUCGAGCCUUGCCUGUGGGCAUCCUCUAUCUAGAUGAAGCUGGUGUAAAUUGAACAGAUUGCUUAUGCGAUGCCUGAGGAUAUGGAAAAGAUAUGUGGUGGAGAAAAAGAAGAGUGCUUGUACUUCUUCUUGAUCUUUUUUCCCUUCCGGUGAAAUAACCAUGGCAUGCUUCUACGUGAUUUUCACUGAAAUAUUUGAAACGCAGUGCUCAACAAUGCAUCUCUGGUUGUUUGA
Lolium rigidum is the source of this 2672-nucleotide long non-coding RNA. RefSeq lists it as uncharacterized. Lineage: Eukaryota; Viridiplantae; Streptophyta; Magnoliopsida; Poales; Poaceae. The record is from RefSeq and is a predicted model, not a curated record. The transcript is spliced from 3 exons.